GUAGGGAAUAUUGCGCAAUGGACGAAAGUCUGACGCAGCGACGCCGCGUGAGUGAUGAAGGCCUUAGGGUCGUAAAGCUCUGUUGAAUGGGAAGAAAAAAAUGACGGUACCAUUCGAGGAAGGACCGGCUAACUUCGUGCCAGCAGCCGCGGUAAUACGAGGGGUCCUAGCGUUGUUCGGAAUCAUUGGGCGUAAAGGGUGUGUAGGUGGCCAUGUCAGUCAGGUGUGAAAGCCCCGGGCUCAACCCGGGAAGUGCACUUGAUACUGCGUGGCUUGAGUACCGAAGAGGGUAGUGGAAUUCCAGGUGUAGUGGUGAAAUACGUAGAUAUCUGGAGGAACACCGGUGGCGAAGGCGGCUACCUGGUCGAGUACUGACACUGAGACACGAAAGCAUGGGGAUCAAACAGGAUUAGAAACCCUGGUAGUCC
RNAcentral lists this ribosomal RNA (428 nucleotides) under uncultured bacterium. RNAcentral describes it as "partial 16S ribosomal RNA". It matches the Rfam family "Bacterial small subunit ribosomal RNA", at positions 354 to 796 of the family's 1533-position model. The record is from RNAcentral.